This 500-nucleotide ribosomal RNA is filed under the name uncultured Glomeromycotina. RNAcentral's name for it is "partial small subunit ribosomal RNA". It matches the Rfam family "Eukaryotic small subunit ribosomal RNA", at positions 591 to 1092 of the family's 1831-position model. Lineage: Eukaryota; Fungi; Glomeromycota. The record is from RNAcentral.
CCAAUAGCGUAUAUUAAAGUUGUUGCAGUUAAAAAGCUCGUAGUUGAAUUUCGGGGUCAGCAGGUUGGUCGUGCCAAUGGUAUGCACUGGCCUUGCUGAUUCCUCCCUCUUGAUGAGCCGUAAUGUCAUUAAUUUGGUGUUGCGGGGAAUCAGGACUGUUACUUCGAAAAAAUUAGAGUGUUUAAAGCAGGCAAGCGCUUGAAUACAUUAGCAUGGAAUAAUGAAAUAGGACGUUUGAUCCUAUUUUGUUGGUUUCUAGGAUUGACGUAAUGAUUAAUAGGGAUAGUUGGGGGCAUUAGUAUUCAAUUGUCAGAGGUGAAAUUCUUGGAUUUAUUGAAGACUAACUACUGCGAAAGCAUUUGCCAAGGAUGUUUUCAUUAAUCAAGAACGAAAGUUAGGGGAUCGAAGACGAUCAGAUACCGUCGUAGUCUUAACCAUAAACUAUGCCGACUAGGGAUCGGAUGAUGUUAAUUUUUUAAUGACUCAUUCGGCGCCUUACG